This 233-nucleotide ribosomal RNA is filed under the name uncultured Glomeraceae. Its description in RNAcentral is "partial 18S ribosomal RNA". It matches the Rfam family "Eukaryotic small subunit ribosomal RNA", at positions 548 to 784 of the family's 1831-position model. The record is from RNAcentral. Lineage: Eukaryota; Fungi; Glomeromycota; Glomeromycetes; Glomerales; Glomeraceae.
UUGGAGGGCAAGUUUGGUGCCAGCAGCCGCGGUAAUUCCAGCUCCAAUAGCGUAUAUUAAAGUUGUUGCAGUUAAAAAGCUCGUAGUUGAAUUUCGGGAUCAAUAUGUCGGUCGUGCUUCGGUACGUACUGUCAUAAUUGGUUUCUCCCUUCUGAAGAACCUUGAUGUCAUUAAUUUGGUGUCUUGGGGAAUCCGGACUGGUACUUUUAAAAAAUUAAAAUGGUUAAAGCAAG